AUGGAGUAUCAGCCAAUCAUCUCUGCACUCGACGUUCGCACCGAGCCUAUCACCGUCGACGCGCUCUUCUCGAUGGUGGCAAACUUCGAUCAGCGUGUCGACAUGUUCCAUGGGAACGGCGCUGGUGGCUUUAAGUCAUCGGCGAACGCUGCUUCCAGGGGUCGCUCGGGCGGUGGCAAAGGCAGCUACCGCAACCAGAAG
This 201-nucleotide ribosomal RNA is filed under the name Triticum aestivum (bread wheat). RNAcentral's name for it is "partial small subunit ribosomal RNA". The record is from RNAcentral. Lineage: Eukaryota; Viridiplantae; Streptophyta; Magnoliopsida; Poales; Poaceae.